GAAAUAUCGUAUUAUUUAGCAUUUUAUCGGGGGGCACGGCAGUGCCCCCGCCAAGUCGAGCGCGAAGCAAACACUGCCGUACCAUCCUUUACUGGAACCAUUUCGCCGCAUUUUCAGGCCCCUAUUUGAGAACCUCUGGAUAAGACCAGAACGCAGAAAUUUUGGUCAUCCAGUAAGCUAUAAUCACAUACUUAAAAUCUAAAAUUUCAAGUCUGUAGGUCAUUUAGUUCCGAAGUUAAGCGAAAGCAUUUUUUCGCAUUUAUGACACUCACUCACUCACUCACACACUCAUGAUCAUCAGAAUAGAACUAGUACUUCCCAUAAACUCAGAGAGCUGAAAUUUGGUACAGAGUUAGGGUUUAAUGGCCACAUAAAGGAAAAACCUAAAAAUAUUGCAAUAUCAGUCACGUUUUAAAGAUCUAAGAACUGUAUAAGUAAGUUUGUAAUCCCAUAUAAAUAUAUGAUAUUACAAAGUUACUGUUACAGUUCCUACAAAUAGUAGGUAAAGUAAAGGUACACUACGAUGUACGAUGUGAGUAUGAAUGAAGAUAUGUUUAGUUAUGAUAUGUGUAUACAUAGUAUGGGUAUGAGUACCCGAAAAGAAGGCCUGCCUACAAAAAGAGAUGAGAACCUAUCAAAAACAUUUCAUGUAAAAAGGUGCAAGUCUCGCAACGCUUUUACUACAAAAAAGUUUUGAGAUGUAAUGUGAAACCAAGUCGGUUAUUUUAAUCAGUGCCAGGGGAACCUAAAAUAGUAACAAGUUAUCCCACCAAAAACAUUCUGUAAAAAACUAGCCAAGUCUCGAUGGAGCUGCUUGUUUAUCUCUAAAAAGUAAUGAAAUCUAGACAAAGUCGUGCCAAGUCUAAGGUUCCUUACUGCGAUUUCUUUAUUAUUAUAGUUAUUGUUGUGUGACUUGGCCGUUGAAGGGUACACAAGGGUACAAAACCAGGUGUUCCAUGACACCAUUGCACCAAUCUGUCGCCAGAACCGCUACCCAUUGACGAUGGAAAAUUGCCACUUGGACAACGUUGAUUCAAUAACCAGUCAAUUGUAGGCUUGAUAAAGCUGCGUAUUUCAAUAAUACUUAUGUAUAGGCGAGCCUGAAACAA
Molecule: long non-coding RNA, 1109 nt
Organism: Cydia splendana
Lineage: Eukaryota; Metazoa; Arthropoda; Insecta; Lepidoptera; Tortricidae
Exons: 3
Source: RefSeq, a predicted model, not a curated record